Molecule: unclassified non-coding RNA, 165 nt
Organism: Chelonoidis abingdonii (Abingdon island giant tortoise)
Lineage: Eukaryota; Metazoa; Chordata; Testudines; Testudinidae
Source: Ensembl
UUGACAACUCUGGGGACUGAAAUAAUCUUCUCCCCAGAACAGGUGCAGCACUAGCAGGAGCAGUGCAAUCUUCCUACACUGCCCCACCAAACACUGACCUGGAUGGACUACCUUUAAAAAUGAGAAGAUAAAUCAGCCUCCAUGUCCAUUCAAUCCUUGGCCUCU